ACGCUGGCGGCACGCCUAACACAUGUCAAGUCGAACGAAGUAGCAAUACUUAGUGGCAGACGGGUGAGUAACAUGUAGGUAUCUGCCCUUUGGCCUGGAAUAACACGAGGAAACUUGUGCUAAUACCGGAUAAGUCUUUACGGAGAAAGCUUUAUGCACCAUUGGAUGAGCCUGCACUUGAUUAGUUUGUUGGUGGGGUAAUGGCCUACCAAGACUGUGAUCAAUAGCUGAUUUGAGAGGAUGAUCAGCCACAUUGGGACUGAGACACGGCCCAAACUCCUACGGGAGGCAGCAGUGGGGAAUCUUGCACAAUGGAGGAAACUCUGAUGCAGCGAUGCCGCGUGAGUGAAGAAGGCCUUUGGGUUGUAAAGCUCUUUCGUCGGGGAAGAAAAUGACUGUACCCGAAUAAGAAGGUCCGGCUAACUUCGUGCCAGCAGCCGCGGUAAUACGAAGGGACCUAGCGUAGUUCGGAAUUACUGGGCUUAAAGAGUUCGUAGGUGGUUGAAAAAGUUAGUGGUGAAAUCCCAGAGCUUAACUCUGGAACUGCCAUUAAAACUUUUCAGCUAGAGUAUGAUAGAGGAAAGCAGAAUUUCUAGUGUAGAGGUGAAAUUCGUAGAUAUUAGAAAGAAUACCAAUUGCGAAGGCAGCUUUCUGGAUCAUUACUGACACUGAGGAACGAAAGCAUGGGUAGCGAAGAGGAUUAGAUACCCUCGUAGUCCAUGCCGUAAACGAUGUGUGUUAGACGUUGGAAAUUUAUUUUCAGUGUCGCAGGGAAACCGAUAAACACACCGCCUGGGGAGUACGACCGCAAGGUUAAAACUCAAAUGAAUUGACGGGGACCCGCACAAGUAGUGGAGCAUGUGGUUUAAUUCGAAGAUACGCGCAGAACCUUACCAACACUUGACAUGUUCGUCGCGACUCUAAGAGAUUAGAGUUUUCGGUUCGGCCGGACGAAACACAGGUGCUGCAUGGCUGUCGUCAGCUCGUGUCGUGAGAUGUUGGGUUAAGUCCCGCAACGAGCGCAACCCUCACUUUUAGUUGCCAUCAUUAAGUUGGGCACUCUGAAAGAACUGCCAGUGAUAAGCUGGAGGAAGGUGGGGAUGACGUCAAGUCCUCAUGGCCCUUACGUGUUGGGCUACACACGUGCUACAAUGGUAUCUACAACAGGAAGCAAAACUGCGAAGUUAAGCAAAUCCCUAAAAGAUACCUCAGUUCGGAUUGCACUCUGCAACUCGAGUGCAUGAAGCUGGAAUUACUAGUAAUCGUGGAUCAGCGUGCCACGGUGAAUGCGUUCCCGGGUCUUGUACACACCGC
Molecule: ribosomal RNA, 1314 nt
Filed under: uncultured Alphaproteobacteria bacterium
Lineage: Bacteria; Pseudomonadati; Pseudomonadota; Alphaproteobacteria
Description: uncultured alpha proteobacterium 16S ribosomal RNA
Rfam family: Bacterial small subunit ribosomal RNA
Source: RNAcentral